UUUUCAUAUGUCUAUGGCUCUGACGUGACGUGACCCCGCGUCAGACACGAAGCGGUGUCAGAUUUAAGCCUGCGCGUAGCUCAUAAAACCAACCGUUGCACAGCAUCGUCAGAUUCGUCAGUUGAUUUCAUAAGCUACGCGCAGGCGCCAAUCUGACACCGCUCCCUGUCCGACGUGGGCCCACAUCACGGCAGAGCAGUCUGUAGGACGCUUUACUCUUACGUCACUUUUUCUAUUUUUAAAAACACCUCUAAUUAACUAGUUACGAAUAUUCCCGAAAAGGUGAAUGCACACUGUUACUUAUUAAUCUACGUACCAGGGAAAUAAAUUAAUUUCUGUUACAAUUAGUGAAGUGGAUGGUUAACAACAGCAACGUACAAUCGAUAUACAUCAGUUCCAAACGAUUAUUGAACUUUUUAAUCAAUUACUGACAAAGGGAAACGUUACAAAUAUGUUUAACGAGACAUUAUAACCGUUAUCACAAGUACAAAAAAGACAGUCGCUCAUCGUUGAAUCAAAAUGAAUGCAAUGUAUCGACACAUUCGGAGUAUCUACGUUGCUACAGUUGACGCCAUUGUUUAUUAUAUUUUUAUUGUACAAAUAUCGGAAGGUGAUCGUUUCGAUAAUUUUCCGUUGUUACAUUGUGAUAUUUCUCCCCGUUUGUUGCGAACGAAAAUGAAAAACGAACAAAAAGGAAAAUGAAUAGAGAGGAAAAUGAGAACUGAAAAAUGGGUGAUAACAGAACACGCAUGAACAAUCACGUUGAAAUAAUAAAUUGUCGCCAUGCAGGAAUAACUGUUGAUUUCCAUGUCUGUUAUUCUAGUGUUUUAAAGGAAUCGUGCAUUCACAAUAUAACGAGAUUGUUGGAAUCUGUUGAAAAGUUAAAUUUCAUGAAUCGAACGUGAACGCCCCUUGGAUUAUCGAGAGUAUCCAACGAACGACAAAUCAAGCUAACGAAUAAGAAUUCAUUCUUUUAUUCGUUUUGAGUAUAAAACGAAUAAGAAAAAAUUCGGCGAAAUCUCAAAUUUUUUCGAAUGAAACUAACAAAUAAGUACCUUUUUAUUUCUUCUAAGUCUAAAUGAGGAAAAAUUCGGUGAAAUCUCGAGUUUCUUCGAACGGAGCUAACGAAUAAAUAUCUUUUAUUCGUUUUAAAACUGAAUAAGGAAAAAUUCAGUGAAAUCUCAAAUUUUUUCAAACGAAGCUAACAAAUAAGUACCUUUUAUUUGUUUUAAGUCUGAAUGAGGAAAAAUUCGGUGAAAUCUCGAAUUUUUUCGAACGGAGCUAACAAAUAAAUAUCUUGUAUUCGUUUUAAAACUGAAUAAGGAAAAAUUCGGUGAAAUCUCGAAUGUUUUCCUGGCACGAUAAUUUCCAUGGAUAGAGAAUAUACACAGAGAUUUGUUGAAAGAUUGUUUAUAUUUCUGUCAAUUGAGCAUUGUUCGAAACAGUCUGGACAUGACCUGAAUAAUAUUUAAUAAACAUUUACAAUAAAUUCAUGGAAUUUAAUUUGCGUUUAAUUGUGUGGGUUACCGAAGAAAUUUAAUUUUUUUUACUUAAAGAGAAAGAAUUUAUGUAUAAUUUCUUGGUUGGUGUUUAAGAACCUCGAAAUUGAGUUCCAAUACGAAGGUAUUGGAAUACAGAUCAUAGAAAUGACCAUUGAUAACAGAGUUGAGCAUUAUUCUUUUAAUUAUUCUUGGAAUAAUCAAUUGAAUAAAGAUUUAUUCGUAUAAUCUCUAUGAAAUUGAUGGAUAAUUUUGAUAUUAGUCAGGAACGAGGGAUGAAACUUUAUUCGGGUUAAUUAAUUCGCCAUUUGAAGGAAGCUUUAAUCGAAUGAAAAACUUCAUCGAAUAAAUCCUGAAUGAACUACGAAUGAAAAUGGUUUGACACUAAGAAAUACAUCUACUGCAAUUGUGUAUUCGAUUCAAGAAUUAUUCGAAUAAUCUUCAUGAAGUUAACGAAUAAUUUUGAUAUUGGUCAGGAAUGACGAAUACAAAUUUAUUCGAAUUAAAAUUCAUUUGAAUAAAUUCAAAUAACGAGGAAAGCUUCGAUCGAAUAAAAGACUUAUUCGAAUAAAUCCUGAAUAAAAUACGAAUAAAAGUGGUUUAACACUAAUAAAUAAAUAAAUCCAUUGCAAAUGUAUACGCAUCUAAAGAUCUAUUCGAAUAAUCACCACCAAUUUUAUGAAUAAUUUUGAUACUGGUCAGAAAUGACGAAUAAAAAUUCAUUUGAAUAGAUUCAAAUAACGAAGGAAGCUUUAAUUGAAUAAAAAGUUUAUUCGAACACAUUCCGAAUAAAAUGUUCUGACACUACGAAAUAUAUCUAUUGCAGAUGUAUACUCAAUUAAAGAUUAAUUCGAAAAUCGUCCAACUCCGAAUAAAGAAUAAAAUUCCAUUCGAAUAAAUCGAAAUCCAAACAAGAAUGAAAAUCUUCCGACAGUAAGAAAUAAAUCCAUUGCAAUUGCAUAUUCGAUUCAAGAAUUAUUCGAAUUAUGUUCAUGAAGUUUACGAAUAAUUUUGAUCUUUGCCAAAAGUGAGGGAUACAAAUUUAUUCGAAUUAAAAUUCAUUUGAAUAAAUUCUAAUAACGAGGAAAGCUUCAAUCGAAUAAGACUUAGUAGAAUAAAUCCUGAAUAAAAUACAAAUAAAAGUGGUUUAUCACUAAUAAAUAAAUAAAUCCAUUGCAAAUGUAUACGCAUCUACAGAUCUAUUCAAAUAAUCUCCAUCAAUUUUAUGAAUAAUUUUUAUUGGCCAGGAAUGACGAAUACAAAUUUAUUCGAAUUAAAAUUCAUUUAAAUAUAUUUAAAUAACGAAGGACGCUUUAACUUAAUAAAAAGCUUAUUCGAAUACAUUCCGAAUAGAAUAUUCGACACUACGAAAUAAAUCUAUUGCAAUUGUAUACUCGAUUAAAGAUUUAUUCGAAAAUCGUCCAACUCCGAAUAACGAAUUAAAUUUCAUUCGAAUAAAUCGAAAUCCAAACAAGAAUGAAAAUGUUUCAACAGUAAGAAAUAAAUCUAUUGCAAUUGUAUACUCGAUUAAAGAUUUAUUCGAAAAUCGCCCAACUCUGAAUAACGAAUACGAGAAUUUCAUUCGUUGAAGCAAAUAACGUUAAAUUAGGCGCGAACCUAAUCGUACUUGAACGGACAAGGUGAGACGAAAAUUGCAGUACGACAAACCGAAACCAAAAUAUGGAAGAUUCGCAAACAAACACUAUGUCAUAGCGUGAGAAUGAUUAACGGAUGAAUGUCGUAGGUGUUAACGCGUACAACUUAAUUACCAGGUAGUUACAAAAUUUUUUAAGCCAAGACUUAGACAUUCCAGCAAAAAAGCAGGGGGUUGGGGAGGGAAGGGGGAUGAAAAAUAUUGACAAAAAAAAAAGAACCAUUAAUUCUAACUCUAUUCUAUCUCUAUAUUCUUCUACCGACUAUAUUUUUCUAAUUAUAUUUGUACGUUGAAUUGUAAGCUCUAAUUGACCAAGCGCUGUUUCAUGCUUGCGGAUGACGAAAGAGGAGAAAACGAGAGUGUACGUGCGAGUGAGAAAGAGAGAACGCGAGAGAGAGAGAGAGAGAGAGAGAGAGAGAGAGAGAGAGAGAGAGAGAAAGGAUACAAAACAAAAGACGAAAAAGAAAGGGGGUGGGGAAUAUUUAGAGAAAAAAAGAAAACUCAAAAAGUCAACGAGGAAAUAAAUGGCGACGAAGGAAUGAAAAUUCGAUGAAAACAAGAAAAAUGAAAAAAAAAAUAAAGAAGAGAAAUGAGAAAACGGCUCAUGUUAUUUUUUCGAGGUUGAGAUUACGUUGCUCGUUUUUUCUAUAAGAUAUCUAGUCUAUUUUUUUUAUCGACCUUAAUUUAAUUAUUGUAAAAAAAAAAAAGAAAAGAAAAAGGAAACAAAUAGCGAGAAACAGGGAGAGAGAAGAGCUAUGCGGAAAAAGAGAAAUAGCAGAGAAGGGGAAGAAUUGACAAAGUAAAAGAAAUUGUCUAAGGCGAUCGGAUGAAACGAAUAAAUCGGUGAAGAUGUUUGCGCAAACAUGUUUGUUACAGUGUGGUAUAGGCUUGUUGGACCGUUUCUGAUGUGGUUUGCUCUCGACGAGUCUUCUUACAGCAGUGGUUCUCAGUGAAAAAAGUGUCAAUGUCUCUUUGAACGACGUGUAACAUGGCUUCGAACCUGUCCAAACCAGCCCAAACAAGACCACUGUUGAAAACAAAUAUUCUUUCACGCGGUGCCAUUUUAAUGCUAAUCCGAGCAACGUUGCAACACAUUUCUGGCACAAAUAUCCAUAGUUAUGUACAGAGACUGCGGUUGAUAUUUGAAAAUCUAUGAGAAUAUGCACAAAUACAAAUUGUAUGUAAAAUAUCAACUGAUAAUAUACAUUUUAUAGGCUUCAGAAGAUGAAAAAUAAUUUCGUUUAUGAUAUGGAAGACUCAACGUGAAGACCAUUAUUAUCAAUUUUUAUUCAGCCAAAGUUACAAUGACGGUAUUUUGAAAAUUUGAUUUUUAAAGGAGGCAAAUGGGAGUACACUCAAUUUUUUCAGAAUUUUAGAAUCGUACCUGCUAGAAAAAUUUGUGCGUUUAGUUAAGAAAAAUUGUAGAUAUAAACGAUAAAAACAGUUUUUUUUAACAGAAACAAUUUUUAGUCGAUACUUUGUUAUCUUCUCUAUAAACUCUCAAAGUCCCAUUCUCUUUCAUCUAUUAGCUCAUGAGCUAUGAUUUUUGAACGAAAUGUAUUUUAGAAAACAACCGGUUUUUCACAAAAUGUGUAAAAUCCAUAAUUUUGAAAAUUUUGAAAAAUCUUACUUACUUAAAUUUUAAGAAGUCUUACCACAACA
Hylaeus volcanicus is the source of this 4815-nucleotide long non-coding RNA. RefSeq lists it as uncharacterized. The record is from RefSeq and is a predicted model, not a curated record. The transcript has 3 exons. Lineage: Eukaryota; Metazoa; Arthropoda; Insecta; Hymenoptera; Colletidae.